Molecule: long non-coding RNA, 1006 nt
Organism: Lycium barbarum (goji berry)
Lineage: Eukaryota; Viridiplantae; Streptophyta; Magnoliopsida; Solanales; Solanaceae
Exons: 2
Source: RefSeq, a predicted model, not a curated record
ACCAUCAUAAUGAUGGGGAUUUAUUAAAAUAAAGAAUAUGUACAAAGAACUACUCCAAAAUAGGAGAGUUUGAAAACCAAAAAGAAACUAAGAAAGCAAAAGAAACAAAAGAGAAGCUAACAACUAAGAAAUUAAGCUAAAAACAACAAUGAGAAAGCUCUUGGAAGUACUAAUUCUGGUGUCUUGAUCUUCCUCCAUUUAUCACACCUCCAAGUUCUCAGUAGGUGGUAUGGGACAAGAUCUAGAUAAAUAUAAUUCAGGCCUCCAAAACAGAUUCCAACUCACAAUUCCUGCAGUUUUCAGCUUAUGCAAUUCAGCAAGUGUUCCUUGUGUCAUAUGUCCCAUGGGAAUGAGAAUGUGAUCACACUAAUACCACCCAUAAAAAUAGCCUCCAACUGUGCUAGAUCAAUGCAGCAACAGUAUGUCAUGUAUGACAGUAUAAAGCAGCAGCUAUAGCACAUAUGCAGAGGACUGCAAUUAGGGAACUAAUGGUGUAGAGCCCGGAGUGAACAAGCAUGUACAGAUUAUGUGGCCUUUCUGUAUACGGUAAAAAUCGGGUAUAUGUUAAACCGGUGAGACCAGAGGCCGAGGGAAAAAAGGAACAAGAACGUGCACGAAGGCUCCCGUUCUGAACCGGGGGAAUGUUUGGACCGAAGCAAGGGAAGGGCAUCAUUUGGUCCGGUUCCCCCAUGACCGGUUUGAUCUAGGCCGUUGGUCCGUUUGAUUGUGGCCGUUGGUCCGGUAGAUCCAUUGCGCGGCUGCCACGCGUCGAUAACGUCUUGCCGUGUUCAACUGCCAAUCGUACGAAUGUCAGAUCGUACGGUCAACCUAAUCCAACCUACUCCAACUCAGAGCUCUCUCCUUAUAAUUUUUUUCAUAUUGUAUGAAGCCCAUGGGGCAGUACUAUAAAUAAGGGGCAUUGUCCUCCUUUUAGGGGGUUGGCUCCUACAUUUCCAAGAACUCUUGUAAUAGCAAUAUAUAUACAAAAUCUCCCUCUCAUACAUCA